Molecule: ribosomal RNA, 253 nt
Filed under: uncultured bacterium
Lineage: Bacteria
Description: partial 16S ribosomal RNA
Rfam family: Bacterial small subunit ribosomal RNA
Source: RNAcentral
UACGUAGGGGGCGAGCGUUGUCCGGAAUCAUUGGGCGUAAAGCGCGUGUAGGCGGCCCGGUAAGUCCGCUGUGAAAGUCCAGGGCUCAACCCUGGGAUGCCGGUGGAUACUGUCGGGCUCGAGUCCGGAAGAGGCGAGUGGAAUUCCCGGUGUAGCGGUGAAAUGCGCAGAUAUCAGGAGGAACACCUAUGGCGAAGGCAGCUCGCUGGGACGUUACUGACGCUGAGACGCGAAAGCGUGGGGAGCAAACAGG